This is a long non-coding RNA of Panthera uncia (snow leopard), 653 nucleotides long. RefSeq lists it as uncharacterized. The transcript is spliced from 4 exons. Lineage: Eukaryota; Metazoa; Chordata; Mammalia; Carnivora; Felidae. The record is from RefSeq and is a predicted model, not a curated record.
CUCUCUCUCUUAAAAUAAAAUAAUAAUAAUAAAAUAUAAGAAUAAAAAAAUAUGGGUUAAAACCCUGGUUCUACCAUUGAUAGUGCCUGGAACGUAGCCAGUGCAUCACGUGCUUCCGUUUCUAAAAUGCAGGUCUCUCCAGACUUCUCCAGUAGAGCCCAGAGCUGUGAUAGCCAAGGACCCGGCACAGGAUUUGAGACAUCUGCCUGUUUCCAACCCAGCUACAGGAGAGCUGAGGCUCAGGAUGUCUUGAAUCUGCCUGGAGUCCAUCUUUGUAUUUAGUGUUAGGCAGGGAUCCAGUGCUUUGGGCUGCAUGGACUCGGCCAGUUUUCUCAAGGAUGUCUACCAAAUAAUGGGCCCUUCGCCCCAUCGAUUCAUGGUGCUUCCUUAUAAGCUUCCCAGCAUCUCUGAGCCAGAAGAACCGAGAAAGACCAACACCUUGAUUGGAGAAGUGAGUACCCUGACAGGUGCUCCACCAACAUUGUUUGGAACAAAACUUGAGUGGGUGAAAGAUGAAAAAUGUGUGUGUAAAACAUGCAGAAGAAAAGACAGCCAACGUUGGAAUGAACUGAGCAACGAGAUAAAUAAAGUGGUAAAGUGUAAAAUAACUAUCCGUGAGUCCAUAUUGAUAUAAAUGAAUGACUGAAUAAAUU